CUGCAACUCGCCUGUAUGAAGUUGGAAUUGCUAGUAAUCGCGGAUCAGCAUGCCGCGGUGAAUACGUUCCCGGGCCUUGUACACACCGCCCGUCACACCAUGAGAGCCGGUAAUACCCGAAGUCAGUAUCCUAACCGCAAGGAGGGAGCUGCCGAAGGUAGGAUUGGCGAUUGGGGUGAAGUCGUAACAAGGUAUC
RNAcentral lists this ribosomal RNA (196 nucleotides) under uncultured bacterium. Its description in RNAcentral is "partial 16S ribosomal RNA". It matches the Rfam family "Bacterial small subunit ribosomal RNA", at positions 1305 to 1500 of the family's 1533-position model. The record is from RNAcentral.